This 260-nucleotide ribosomal RNA is filed under the name uncultured bacterium. Its description in RNAcentral is "partial small subunit ribosomal RNA". It matches the Rfam family "Bacterial small subunit ribosomal RNA", at positions 26 to 285 of the family's 1533-position model. The record is from RNAcentral.
AGGACGAACGCUGGCGGCGUGCUUAACACAUGCAAGUCGAACGAUGAAACCGACUUCGGUUGGUGGAUUAGUGGCGAACGGGUGAGUAACACGUGGGCAACCUGCCCUUAGCUCUGGGAUAACUUCGGGAAACCGAAGCUAAUACCGGAUACGACUCCUUUGGACAUCCAAUGGGAGUGGAAAGUUCCGGCGGCUAAGGAUGGGCCCGCGGCCUAUCAGCUUGUUGGUGGGGUAAUGGCCCACCAAGGCGACGACGGGUA